Molecule: RNA transcript, 26420 nt
Organism: Loxodonta africana (African savanna elephant)
Lineage: Eukaryota; Metazoa; Chordata; Mammalia; Proboscidea; Elephantidae
Gene: SSH3
Gene name: slingshot protein phosphatase 3
Exons: 15
Source: RefSeq, a predicted model, not a curated record
GUCUCUCCUUCCUGGUCCUGCGGGGCACGGACUGUACGUGGGGCUGAGGGAGGUGGCCGUGCCCAACGCCAACCCAGGUGCCCCCGCCUGGCCCCAUGGCCCUGGUCACAGUGAGUCGCUCGCCUCCCGCCAGCGGUCACUCUACGCCCGUGGGGCCCACGCAGGACCGGGCAUCCAAACGGAGAAGCCGGCUGCAGCGACGGCAGAGCUUUGCAGUGCUCCGGGGGGCUGUCCUGGGACUGCAGGACGCAGGGGAUGAUGGAGAUGCAGCCGAGACCAGCCCUGAGCCCUCGGAGGAGCCCCCAGGCGUGGAGCAAGCCCAUGGGGACCAGACGGAUGACGGGCACGGGGCCCAGAGUCCCCAGAAGCAGGAGCAGAGGCAGCACCUGCACCUCAUGGUGGAGCUGCUGAGGCCACAGGACAACAUCCGCCUGGCGGUCCAGCUGGAGGCAGCCCGGCCGCCCCGGCUCCGCUACCUGCUGGUAGUGUCCACAAGAGAAGAGCUGAGCCAGGAGGAGACAGUCCUCCUGGGGGUAGACUUCCCUGACAGCAGCUCCCUCAGCUGCACCCUGGGCCUGGUCUUGCCCCUCUGGAGUGACACCCAGGUGUAUCUGGAUGGGGACGGGGGCUUCAGUGUGACGUCUGGCGGACAGAGCCGGAUCUUCAAGCCCAUCUCCAUCCAAACCAUGUGGGCCACGCUCCAAGUAUUGCACCAGGCAUGUGAGGCAGCUCUAGGCAGCGGCCUGGUGCCAGGGGGCAUUGCCCUCACCUGGGCUGCCCACUACCAGGAGAGAGUGAGCUCUGACCAGAGCUGCCUCAACGAGUGGAUGGCCAUGACUGACCUGGAGUCUCUGCGGCCUCCCAGCACCGAGCCUGGCCGGUCUUUGGAGCAGGAGCAGAUGGAGCAGGCGAUCCGGGCAGAGCUGUGGGAGGUGUUGGACACCAGUGACCUGGAGAGUAUCACUUCCAAGGAGAUCCGCCAGGCCCUGGAGCUGCGCCUGGGCCGCCCGCUGCAGCAGUACCGCGACUUCAUUGACAACCAGAUGCUGCUGCUCAUGGCUCAGCAAGACCGGGCCUCCCGCAUCUUCCCCCACCUCUACCUGGGCUCCGAGUGGAAUGCAGCCAACCUGGAGGAGCUGCAGAGGAACAGGGUCAGCCACAUCCUAAACAUGGCUCGGGAGAUCGACAACUUCUACCCUGAGCGCUUCACCUACCACAAUGUACGCGUCUGGGACGAGGAGUCGGCCCAGCUGCUGCCCCACUGGAAGGAGACCCACCGCUUCAUUGAGGCCGCCAGAGCCCAGGGUACCCGGGUGCUAGUCCACUGCAAGAUGGGCGUCAGCCGCUCAGCUGCUACGGUGAUGGCCUACGCCAUGAAGCAGUACGGCUGGGGCCUGGAGCAGGCCCUACGGCAUGUACAGGAGCUCCGGCCCAUCGCCCGCCCCAACCCCGGCUUCCUGCGCCAGCUGCAAACCUACCAGGGCAUCCUGACUGCCAGCCGGCAGAGCCAGGUCUGGGAGCAGAAAGUGGGUGGGGUCUCCUCAGAGGAGCCCCUGGCCCCAGAAGUCUCUACGCUGUUCCCAGCUCUUCCGCAAGAACCUGGGGGCAGUGGGGAGGUAAAGGCUAUAGGGCUGGAGGAGAACCAGGCAGCCCCAAAAGAAGAGCUUGGGCCCCGGGCCCGUAUCAACCUCCGCGGGGUCAUGAGGUCCAUCAGUCUUCUGGAGCCUCCCUCGGAGCUGGAAAGCACCUCAGGGUCUGGUGACCUGUCAGAGGAUCAUACCCUCUGCCCUAUGACACACUACACGGGUUGUGUGUAUGGAGGGAGAGGGGGCUGUACUGCUCCAAGCCGACUCAGAGGUACAAGCUGGCAUCAAACCUCCUCACUGGUCGAGGCCACAUACACAGUUUUAAGAAUGAUUCUCUCAUCGACCCUGGUGUGCCUCCAGCAUUAACCCUGAAGUCCUGGGGGACAGAAGACUUGGCUUCUAGUCCUGGCUUUACCAGUAAUUCACCUUGAGUCUCUUUCUGUAAAACAAAGGGAUUAGACCAGGAAAUCCCUACUGCCCCUCCAACUUUGAUAUUUUUUAACAAUGCAUGUCACCUACAAGGAGCCCUGGUGGAGCAGUGGUUAAAGUGCCCAGCGUCAACUCAAUGGCAGUACGUUUGUGUCACCAACGCCUGCUAGAAUUCAGCCUCUGCGUGCUCCCUAGAACAGGAAUCAUUUGCACCUGUCUGUGGGCAGCAUAGGAGCUCUGGUGGCGCAGUGGUUUAGUACUCAGCUGCUAACCACAAGAGAAAGAUGUGGCAGUCUGCUUCUGUAAAGAUUACAGCCUUGGAAACUCUAUGAGGCAGUUCUACGCUGCCCUAUAGGGUCCUACAAGUUGGAAUCAACUAGAAGUCAAGGGGCUUAUGGGCAGCAUGCCUAGAGUCACUAGGUGGGCCCAGAGAAGCUAGUUCUGAUUUUUUAUCCACUUGGCCGGCCCACCCUGCUGGAUAAACACUGGGGACUGCUUGCUACCCUACAGCCAGCUGGGACUCUUGCUCAGCCUGCCAUUUUAGGAGUCCUCGGCUGGGGCUGGGACUGCUGGAGGUGGGGGUGUCAAGAGAGAAGCCAAGGCCAGGUCCUGCCCUCCUGCAGACUGUAUAGCUCAGAAGGCAGGGUCCAAUCUGCCAAGGAGAAUCCACAGAGGACUUGGAGAAGAAUUCAGUACCCUGGGAAACGAGCACUCCAGGGGAAACUACUCGCACCAAAAAUGCAGGCAAACAACACGAAAAAUGUAAUCAAUGUCACUGACUUGUACAUGUGGACACUGCUGGGCUGGAGGAUGUUUUGGUAUGUGUUUUCACCAUAAUAGAAAACAAGUAAUAAAAAAGGGCAAGCAAAUGACUAAGAACUCUACAUGUAUACAAAGCUCACAAACUGCUAAAGGGACAAAAAAAAAAAAAGAGUAUAAAAUGCAAAGUAAGCUUCCCUUCCCAUUCUCCACUCCUUCACUUCCACCCCUCACAGGCAGCAACUAUUACCAGCUUCUUUUCAGUCCCUCCAAAGACGCUCUGGGGCACUGGUGGCGCAGUGGUUAAGAGCGGCGACUGGGAACCAAAAGGUCAGCAGUUCAAAUCCAUCAGUGGUUCCUUGGGAACCUUAUGGGGCAGUUCUACUCCAUCCUAUGGGGUCGCUAUGAGUCAGAAUCGACUUGAGGGCAACAGGUUUGGGCUUUUUUUUGUUUGUUUCAAAACACUCCAUACUUAUGUAAUCAAAUAGUUGUGUGUGUAAUCUUUUUUUUUUUUAAAUAUAAAUGAGAGUAUAUGAACAUACUGUUGUAUGCUUUGAAAAUUUCUUCAUAACCUGAAGCGUUCCACAUCAGUACAUAAAUGUCUGCCUCAUUUAAAAAAUAACAGCACAUAUUCCGUUUUAUGGAGGUUCUGUCAUUUAUUUAAGUGGUCAUUCGUCAAUAAACAUUUAGGUUGUUGACAAGUUGGAUUUUUCUCCCCCAUUUCAAAUAAUGGAUCAUGAAAUAACCCUUGUAUAUACUUUCUUAGGCACACAUGACCACUAAAGCCGUAGGGCAUGUUUCUAGAAUUGCUGAAUCAUUUUUUAUUUUGAAAGGCAUUGCUUCAUUUCCUUCCAAAGAAGUUGCCCCAAACUGACAGCGAAUGGAAUGUGUGUUUAUGUCUUUAAAGGACUGCUGGGCCUCCCCGUCAAUGACAUCUCAUAAGAACCCGGUAAGACUCCCAGAAGGAGAGAGGGCAGACGUCAUACUCACCUCCCUGUUAGAAAUGAGAAGUAACUGAGUCUCUAACAGGGUCUGAACUAGAUCCUAGGUUUCUAGGUUCUCAGUCCAGGGGCCUAGCUCUGAAAGUGGAGACGCUGGUUCCGGGGAAGUCAGCUCGCUGACACUACAGCUCAGCCCCCCAUGGCGGGCCCCGGAUCGGGAACAGACCCCAAGUUCCCGGAGGGAGUGUCAGGGUGACAGGGCUUCGAAAUCAACCCCCACGCGACGCGACAGCUCUGCGGGACGGGAGAGGUCGCCCAGGCCCUACUUGAACGCCAGCUGCGACGAGGAGCUCCCGUCCGUCGGGCAGUCGGUCCAUCCCGGGGCAGCUCCCGCCGUUCUAAAUUUCCCUCCGCCGAACUCGCCGCGGCCGCCCCUCGCGCCGCACGAGGGCAGCCCCUCGUUAGGACGAGUUUCCCAAGGGCCCUUCACCUCGCAUUCCAGGCGUCUCAGAGCCGCGGCUGCAGAGAGAAACUACCUUCCAGGCCUCCGCGGCCUGUCCUUCGGCGGCAGCAGCGCCCGCAAAAGCCCGGGGCGGGGAGGCCGGCAGGUCGGAUCCGACCGCGACGCUCGGGCGCCAUCUUGCGUCGGUGCCUCCGGCCUCCGGUAACAGCUCGGAAACCACACUUCCCGGCGUACCCAGCGCGUCGACGCAGGCGCAGAAGGCUUCCUCCCGUUUCCAUGGGAACCUCGCCCCCGGAGUCGGGGCAGUUAGACUCCGGGGCGCGCCGGAGCUGCUCGGCUUGAGGCGUGGAGCCCUGCAGGACUUCUGGGGGCCAUAAAAGUCCCUUUUCCUGGAGACAUGACCCAAAGUGAGCUGUUGUACCCAACCUUCUGGCAGCGCACACUCCCACCCCCGAACCUCUUCCUCUCCAUCUUGCCUCUCCAGUUCGCUCCCACUUCACUGGCUACAGGUAAGUGCCAUCUGGGUGUCCCAGAUUCCUUUUUAGCUAAGUGCUGUGCGAGGGCCUAAGAACUCCAGAGCUGACACUUGAGAGGAGAUUACAGCCGUUCACUGCCUACAUUGGGGGGAUUGCCAUCAUUUACAAUUGACAGAACACUUUCACUUGCAGGAGAUCUCAUUUUAUCUUUGCAACAGCUGGAAGCUCUUUUAUCACAACUUUACUUUUCUCGAUGUGGGGUCCGAGUUAUUAGGCUAUAGGCCAAAGAGCUGAAUGGUGGCAUUGAGACCAGUGACCUUUCCACUGCCUCAGUUAUCAUGGAAGGAGUACCAUCUGCCAACUAGUGAAGCCUCAUCCUCUGCUAACUUGAAGCUAGGCCCAGACUCUCCCUUUUUCCCAUUUCAGCCAGAAUUUCCUGCCUGUUUUCCAUCCCAGCCCACCUUCUCUCUGUCAUCAGACGUAUUUGACAGUCUCUUGCUCUCAUGCCCCCACUAGACUGACUGCUGAGACUGACUUGUUCUCAUGGCAGCAGGUUCCCUUCAGAGUACUAGUGCUCCUCCCCUUGACCCUGCCAGUCUGGCGGCUCCAGGCAGGCACCUGGAGAGCUGGGAUACUUAGGGGAUUCUGUCUCUAGGUGAGAGGACCAAGCAGAGGAAAGCUGAUGCACUGGUAGGGAGGGAAGUUGGCGAAACUUUGCCCAGUGGUAUUCCCUGCCCUAGGUAGUAAUGCCACACCCCACCCCACUGGCACCCCUGGCAGCAGCUCAGUGAGACUCAACGGUGAGGGUGGGGAGGUAGGUGUGGCAGGGAGAGGCAACAAGGAGCAAGCCCAGGCUAAAACUAGGCCCCAAGUGCUGGCCUAACUCAAGCCAGAGAUCAUUGUCGGGGUGGAGGAUAGGCCCAGAUGAAGGAGGAUGCUCCUGGAGGCUGGGGUGGGGAGAGGGAGCUGAUGGUACAUAUCCUACAUGAUUUGUCUUUACAUGGGCCUGAGAAGGCUCGGAGCUGGGCAGGUGUGCCCUGGUCUUCCCAGGCAGCACAGCACUGCCGCACAGCUCAGCGCUUGGUGGACUGGCUCUCCUCCUCUGAAGGUCCUCAGGGGACCUUCUCUACCCUCCACCCUCACUGAAGCUCAGCCAGAUGCUUCCGCCAGCCCUCUCCACAAUCCAGUUAUCUCAGUGUCCCAAAUGUCCCUCUGCUAGGCUGAACUCUGCCCCCUUAGAAUUCCCAUACUCUGCCAGCCUAAAGGUUUUAUUUUCUAUACAGAAAUGGGCACUGGGGAGGGGGAGGCUAAGUGCCAUGAGGAUAGAGUAAGUGGUUUGGGGUCAGUAGGAUGCCCUGUUGGUAAGCUGAGACCGCCCCAACCUUGGGUAGCGUGGUGUAUCCUGUGUGGUGGGUGGGACUGGCACAGAGCAUGGCCUCCGCUAUCUGAUCGCAGCAAGAUGUGCCCACAGUUGCAGGCUGAGAUCGAGGAGCAGUAGGCAUCUGUCUGCCCCAUGCCUGCCCCACCCCAGCGUCCUGCCGCAGCCCCACCCUCCACCUCAGCCCUGUUCUUUCAUGUCUUCCCUCUCCUCCUCCUGCUCUCCCUCUAAGGAGGGCCAGCAACAGCUGCUGACCAUAGGGGCAUAUCUCCGCCUGUCCCACCACACAUGAGCUUCUUAGGAGUGCCCAUCUGACCUGCAGCCAGCAAGACUGGUACUCCUGGGCAGAUAUCUCUAAUUCUUCUUCUUUUAUGAAGGAAGAAGGACUCAGAUAAGAGAGGGAGGUCAGGACAAGGAGGCUAGGAACUACAUGGAGGCUACGUGGGAAGGAAAUGGGUUGAAGGGAUGCUCCAGAGAAGAGCUGUAGAUAUCAGGCACCUGUGAUAGCUGUCCGGCCUGCUGGUCCCUGGAAUGGACGCAGGUCAGGUGAGGCUGUAGGAGGAGCUGUCCUUGAAAGGAGAGCUGCUUGUGGUUGGACCCCCGUUUGACAGCCUAAGGGACUGAAGGAGCCAUUUGACAGGAAGGCUAUGAUGAAAUGAAACUCAUUCUUUUUUCUCACAGUUCAUCUUUCUGAGUCCUGAGCCCCUCCUGCUGACUUUCCCAUUUCCUUUAAUGGUACCUCUAUCCUCCUACACCCAGGUGAAAGCCUUGGGGUGAUAACGCUCACUUUCCACAUUUAAUCAACGGUCAAAUUCUGAUGAUCUCUCACAAAACUGCCUUUCUCUCCCACUUCCUGCACCUAGCCAAGUUCCUGGUCUCCAUGCCUGGACUAUUGUAAUAGCCUCCUGCCUGGUUACCCUCACUGUCCAGGACAGCAUGACUAGAUUAAUCUGCCAGAAGGAUUACAUCACUUCACACAUGGGACUCCCGUGGUACGUGCCAUUGGUGGUGCUCCCCAUUGCCUGCCAAGUACAGGACAAACUCUGUUCUUGUGCUCAUGGCCUUUCCCCAUCUGGCAUCAGCCUACCUUUCUGGCUUUAUCUCCCAGAACAUCCUAAUAUAUACCUUUCACUCUAAUUAAUUAGGCUACUAACUGUUCCCCCAAAGCACCCCUUGUUUUUCCAUUUCUUUACCUUCGCUCAUGCUGUUCUCUCUACCUGGGAGGGUCCCUUUGCAUUCAUUCACUUAAAAAUAUUUAUUAAGUAUCUUUUGUUUACCAGGCACUUUGCUAUGUGCCAGGGAUAUAGAACUAAACAAACAAAAACCCUCACGGACCUUACUGAGAGGAAAUAGAUGGCGAUAAGUGGCGUGGAGAAAAAUCAGGAAGGGACGAUGGGAGUGUUGCCAAGGGAGUUUAGGCGGCCCCAGUUGUACAUAGUAAAACCCUAGCCAUUCUUCAGCACCCUGAUUAAGUACCGUGUCAUCCACUAAAUUGUUCCUAGUUGCUUCCUCUAGGGAAAAUACAUACCGUUUUCCUCUGGGGAAAAUACACAUUAAUAUUAAAAUUUAAUAAAGGACUAGUCUUUUUUUUUGAAACUUUAAUAUUAAUACGUAUUUUCCUUUUAUAGGCAAACAUUUAUACCAUGCAGUUGGUUUCUACCUCAUAUAAGACAAUGUAGAAAACUCAGCGUUACUGCAUUUAUCAGUAGUCUCUUAAUGAUUAAACUAGAUUGGUGGAAGUACUCUGAAGAUUUUCCACGUAGUCAUUCGUACUGAAGCCGUACUGUAAUGCCCUUAUGGGGUCUGUUAGGCUGUAAGCUCUUUUUCUCCCCAACUUUUUGUUUUGAAAAAUUGCAGACCUAUUGGAAAGUUGAAAGGAUAGUAUAAUGAACACCCAUGUACUCUACCUCUAGCUCCACCAGUUGUGAAUCUCUUGCCAUAUUUCUUUGUCUUGUAUUUUUUUUGAACCAAUUGAAAAUCAGAUGCACAUGUUAUAAUGCUUCACCCCUAAACAUUUCAGCACAUAUCUCCUGAAUGUAGGACAUUCUGCUACAUCAUCACAAUAUCCUUAUUAUAUGCAGAAGGUUUCACAACGAUGCAGUGGUAUUAUUGAGACUACGACCGUAAUUAACUUACCCCAAAUUUUCCAUUAUAGCUUUAAAAAAAAAAAAAUUGACCCAGGAUCCAGUCAGCAAUCACAGAUUGCAUUCGGUUGUCAUGUCUCUUUUUCUUUAAUCUAGAAUAGUCCUCCUGCGUUUUCUGUUUUUCAUGACAUCGGCAUUUUUCAUGACACUGAGUCUAAGCUAGUUGUCUUGCAGAAUAUCUCUCAGUUUGUUUCAGUGUUUCUUCACAAUUAGAUUCAGAUUAAACCUUUUUGCAUGAAUACUACAUAAAUGACAUUUCUUGCUGUUGCAUUACUUCCAUAGUCAUAUAAUGUUUUAUCCGAUUAUUGGUGAUAACUAAGUUUGAUUACUUGGUUAAGAUGGUAUCUGCUAGAUCUCUCCAUUGUCAAAGAACCCUUAAGUAAUCUGCUGGGUAGUGAGUUGAGAUCAUGUGAAUAUCCUAUUCCCCAACAACAUUGAUUUCAGCAUCAAUUGAUGAUCUUUGCCUAAAUUACUUCAUUGUGUUUUUUUUUUAAUUAUGUCAUUCUUUCUACAUGUAUUUGUACAUUUAGUAUAAUAAGCUAUUAUUCUUCAGUAAAGAGUUUUCCUCUCCCCCUUUUAGAUUCAUGUGUUCUUUUUUUAAUCCAAUGUGUUAUAAGCCAUUACUGUCAUUAUUCUUUCUCAUCCUUGAAUUUUCUCAUAUUUGGCCAGCAGGAGCGCCUUCAAGCUGGUCCCAAGUCUUUUUGUCAUGUUCCUAUUAGUCUUUGAGCAUUUCGUUGCUUUCUAGCACAACAUAGUUUUCCAAAUGCACCUGGAACCGGCCACUUGUCCAGUGAGCCCUAGUUUCUUCAAGUGGAGAAAGAUAUUUAGAAACUAAAAUCAGGGUUCUAGCUGUGCUCAUUGCUACUAGGGUUUUAUUGCUUCCAGGCCUUUUCAGUGGAAAAAAAUGGAUUAUUUUAUUUGUUUGUCUUUACUCAUUGAUUUCCAGGACUUCUGCUUCUAACUGUGUUGGAAUUGUCUCAUUGUAAACAACUAUGAAACUGGAUAAAAAAGAUAAGGCAGCUAUUAUUAGGCUUUGAACAAUAGGCAGGACUGUGCUUCCUUAGAGAAGGAGAACACUUCAGGUGAACCCCACAUUAACUCUGGCCCCUGACCUCCUACCUGGGGACAGUUUGCUGUCCACAGCACAGAAGUGGAGCCCAAGCAGAGCACAGCAGUUCUGCUGAGCUGAUAAAGCAGAGAUCAGAAUUGAGGGCUGCUGAAACAGCUGGAAAUUGUAGGGCAGGAAACUGGAGAGGAGGCAGCUGUACACAGUGGGUAUGCCUAGAAGUCUGUAUGUGGGUUCUCUGGUCCUAAGCUGAGCUCUGGGCUAUAGAUGUGCAAGGUGAGACUUUGCAAGACCUAGCAGAGAAUUGCUGCUAUGGGCUAGGGAGUAGAACAGACAUACUAAAAGUUAGACAGUGAGACUUUGAAUUCUGGCCUAACCAGAGUGAAAAUACUUCGUUAAGAUCCAGACAUAGUGCUGAGAUAUCAGAAAGGCCAUGCCUUAGGAGUAAUGAUCAUGCCCUGCAGGCCAAAUCUUACCCAUCAUAGGCCAAACAGUGCUGUUCCUGUUUGUUUACAUAUUGUCUAUGUCCGAUAUCAUACUACAGUAGCCGAGCUGAGUUGUGACAGAGACCAUAUGGCCUGCAAAGCUGAAAACAUUUACAAUCUAGCUCUUUACAAAGUCAGCUCUUUGACGACCUCUUCCUUAGAGUAAGGGCUACUCUACCCAUUGCCAUUGAGCUGAUUCCAACUCAGAGCACUCUAAAAAAAAAAAAAAAAUUUUUUUUUUUUUUUUUUUACCUGGCCUAAUAAAGUCUAAAACCAAGUCUCAGAAAGAUUAAGGAGAAUUGCCAGAAAUGAAUUGCCUGCUAGAGCAAAACUCAAUGUUCUUUAAAGGAAGACGUUAUCAUCCAGACAAUUCCAUCAAACCCCAUGUGCCUGUCAAUUUGUCGUACUGUGGGGGAUUGUGUAUUGCUGUGAUGCUGGAAGCUAUGCCACUAGUAUUCAAAUACCAGUAGGGUCACUCAUGGCAGACAGAUUUCAGCUGAGCUUCCAGACUAAUACAGACCAUGAAGAAGGACCUGGCGGUCUACUUCUGAAAAGAAUUUGCCAGUGAAAACCUUACAAACAGCAGCAGAACAUUUUCUGAUACAGUGCUGACAGAUGGGCCCCUCAGAUUGGAAGGCACUCAAAAUACGACUGGGGAAGAGCCUCCUCAAAGUAUAGCCUUUCUUAAUGAUAUGAAUGGAGUCAAGCUUUCAGAACCUUCAAUUGCUGACGUGGUACGAUUCGAAAUGAGAAGAAACAGCAGCAAACAUCCAUUAAUAAUCAUAACAUGGAAUGUAUGAAGUAUGAAUCUGGGAAAAUUGGAAAUCAUCAAAAAUGAAAUAGAACGCAUGAAGAUCGAUAUCCUAGGCAUUAGUGAACUGAAGUGGACUGGUAUUAGUCAUUUUGAAUUGGACAAUCAUAUGGUCUACUCUGCCAGGAACAAAAACUUGGAAGAGGAAUGGCGUUGAAUUCAUCGUCAAAAAGAACAUUUCAAGAUCAAUCCUGAAGUACAGUGCUGUCAGUGAUAGGAUAAUAUCCAUACGCCUACAAGGAAGACCAGUUAAUAUGACUGUUAUUCAAACUUACAUACCAACCACCACUAAGGCCAAAGAUGAAGAAAUUGAUGAUUUUUACCAACUUCUGCAUUUGAUCAAACUACAGGCUGAAAUUGAUCGAACAUGCAAUCAGUAUGCAUUGAUAAUUACUGGAGAUUGGAAUGCAAAAAUUGGAAACAAAGAAGAAGGAUCAGUAGUUGGAAAAUACGGCCUCGGUGAUAGAAAUGAUGCCAGAGAUCGCAUGAUUGAAUUUUGUGAGACCAACGACUUCAUUGCAAAUACCUUUUUUCACCAACAUAAAUGGCGACUACACUCAUGGACCUUGUCAGAUGGAAUAUACAGGAAUCAAAUUGACUGUAUCUGUGGAAAGAGACAAUGGAAAAGCUCCAUAUCAUCAGUAAGAACAAGGCCAGGGGCCAAACGCAGAACAGACCAUCAAUUGCUCAUAUACAAGUUCAAGUUGAAAAUGAAGAAAAUUAGAACAAGUCCAGGAGAGCCAAAGUACAACCUUGAGUACUUUGAGUACCAUCUCAAGAAUAGAUUUGAUGCGUUAAACACUAAUGACCAAAGACCAGACGAGUUGUGGAAUGACAUCAAGGACAUCAUAUAUGAAGAAAGCAAGAGAUCAUUAAAAAGACAAGAGAGAAACAAAAGACCAAAAUGGAUGUCAGAAGAGACUCUGAAACUUCCUCUUUGACGUCGAGCAGCGAAAACAAAAGGAAAAAAUGAUGAAGUAAAAGAGCUGAACAGAAGAUUUCAAAGGGUGACUUGAGAAGACAAAAUAAAAUAUUAUGAUGACAUAUGCAAAGACCUGGAUAUAGAAAACCAAAAGGGAAGAACAUGCUCAGCAUUUCUAAAGCUGAAAGAACUGAAGAAAAAAUUCAAGCCUCAAGUUGUAGUACUGAAGGAUUCUAUGGGGAAAAUAUUAAACAACGCAGGCAGCAUCAAAAGAAGAUGGAAGGAAUACACAGAGUCACUAUACCAAAAAAAAAUUGGUCAACAUUCAACCAUUUCAAGAGGUAACAUAUAAUCAGGAACCGAUAAUACUGAAGGAAGAAGACCAAGCUGCACUGAAGGCGCUGGCAAAAAACAAGGCUCUGGGAAUUGACGGAAUACCAAUUCAGAUGUUUCAGCAAAUGGAUGCAGUGCUGGAAGUGCUCACUCAUGUAUACCAAGAAAUUUGGAAGACGGCUACCUGGCAAAUUGGCUGGAAGAGAUCCAUAUUUAUGCCUGUUCCCAAGAAAAGUGAUCCAACCAAAUGCGGAAAUUAGCAAAGAAUAUCAUUUUUAUAUCAUUAAUAUCACAUGGAAACAAAAUUUUGCUGAAGAUCAUUCAAAAGCGGCUGCAGCAGUAUGUCAGUAGGGAACUGCCAGACAUUCAAGCGAAAUUUAGAAGAGGACAUGGAACCAGGGAUAUCAUUGCUGAUGUAAGAUGGAUCCUGGCUGAAAACAGAGAAUACCAGAAAGAUGUUUACCUGUGUUUUAUUGACUAUGCAAAGGCAUUCAACUGUGUGGAUCAUAACAAAUUAUGGAUAACAUUGCAGAGAAUGGGAAUUCCAGAACACUUAAUUGUGCUCAUGAGGAACCUGUAUGUGGAUCAAGAGGCAGCUUUUCAAACAGAACAAGGGGAUAACUCAUGGUUUAAAGUCAGGAAAGGUGUGCGUCAAGGUUGUAUCCUUUAACCACACCUGUUCAAUCUGUAUGCUGAGCAAAUAAUCCCAGGAGCUGGACUGUAUGAAGAAGAACGGGGCAUCAGGAUUGGAGGAAGACUCAUUAACAACUUGUGUUAUGCAGAUGACACAGCCUUGCUUGCUGAAAGUGAAGAGGACUUGAAGUACUUACUGAUGAAGAUCAAAGACCACAGCCUACAGUAUAGAUUACACUUCAACAUAAAGAAAACAAAAAUCCUCACAGCUGGACUAAUAAGCAACAUCAUGAUGAAUGGACAAAAGAUUGAGGUUGUCAAGGAUUUCAUUUUACAUGGAUUCACAAUCAACACCCAUGGAAGCAGCAGUCAAGAAAUCAAAAGACGCGUUGCAUUGGGCAGAUCAACUGCAAAAGACGUCUGCGAAGUGUUGAAAAGCAAAGAUGUCACCUUGAGGACUAAGGUGCACCUGACCAAGCCAUGGUAUUUUCAAUCACCUCAUAUCCAUGUGAAAGCUGGACAAUGAAUAGGGAAGACCAAAGAAGAAUUGAUGCCUUUGAAUUGUGGUGUUCGUGAAGAAUAUUGAAUAAACGAUGGACUCCCAAAAGAACAUACAAGUCUGUCUUGGAAAAAGUGCAGUCAGAAUGCUCCUUAGAAACAAGAAUGAUAAGACUAUGUCUCACAUACUUUGAACACAUUAUCAGAAGGGAUCAAUCCCUGGAGAAGGACAUCAUGCUUGGUAAAAUAGAGGGUCAGUGAGAAAGAGGAAGACCCUAAAUACACAGUGGCUGCAAUGACAGGCUCAAGCAUAGCAACAGUUGUGAGAAUGGCACAGGACUGGGCAGUGUUUUAUUCUGUUAUGCAUAGGGUUACUAUAAGUCGGAACUGACUCCACAGCCCCUAACAACAACAACAUGUCCAUCAAACAGUAAAAAAUUGCUAGACAUUCAAGGGAGCAGGAAAGACCCAAAAACCAAACCCGUUGCUGUUGAGUCAUUCCAACUCAUGGUGACCUCACAUGUUAUAGAGUAGAACUGAACUGUAUAGGGUUUUCUUGGUGGUAAUCUUUACAGAAGCAGAUCACUAGGCCUUUCUUCUGUGGCAUUGCUGAGUGGGUCUGAACUGCCAACCUUUCGGUUAGUAGUUGAAUGCAAACUGUGCGCCAACUGGCCCAUAAUCAAGGGGAAAAGAAGAGCAAAUUGAGAAAAUAAUAUAUAAUAUUAAAAAACAUUAAAUUACUCAAAGUCAGGAAAAGAGGAACAGGCCCAAAAGCCAUAUGGUAUAAAUCUGAUAAGCCUUAAGCCCAACCAUAUCAGUAAUUCCAUUAAAUAUAAAUGAAUUUAACACUGCAAUUGAAAGGCAGAGAUUGUCAAGAUAAAAAAUCAAGAUCCAGCUGUAUAAUAUCUAAAAGAGAUAUACUUCCAAUAUACAGACACAGAUAGAUAGAAAGUAAAAGGAUUAAAAAAAAGAUACAUUAUGCAAAUGAAAAGCACAAAAAACCUGGUAUGGCUAUAUUAAUAUCGGACAAAGUAAACUUCAAGACAAGGGGUAUUCAGAGAGGUAGAGACAUUUCAUAAUCAGAAAAGGGUCAAUCAAGCAGGAAGAUGCCAUCCUAAAUCUAUAUGCUACAAAAAAUAAUGUAAAAAAUGACAGUUAAAAGGAGAGACAGACAAAUGCACGAUCACAUUUAGAAAUUUGGAAACCUCUGUAUUGAUAAAUGAUAAAACAUUAAGACAAAAGAGCAGUAGGAGUAUAAAAAUUUUUAACUGUAUCAUCAACCACUUUGAUAUAUUUGACGUUAAAGAAACUUCACAUACUAACUGUAGAAUGCACACUCUUUUUCAAGCGUACUUGGAACAUUCACCAAGAUAGAUUAUACCCUGAACCAUAAAAUAAAUCUCAAUAGAUUUCAAAAGAUUUAUUGAGACUGCCUCAUUACAGUGGAAUUAAAUUAGGAGUAAAUAAUAAUGACAUACCUAGAAAAUCACCAAAUAUUUGCAAAUUAAACGAUAUGUUUCUAUAUAACUGAGUUAAAGAAGAAAGCACAAAUGGAGUUAGAAAAUAGAGUCAAGUCUGUAUAAGCCGCAAACCUGACAGAAGGAAAAUGCAAAUAUUUUCCACUAAUAGCGAUAGAAAAGUGCUAAGACUGCACGCUGUCAAAGGCGGAAAACUUGAAAGACCUGGAAAAACAAGGCAGUCCCGUUAAGUUCAGCUUUCAUAGUUUUCACUGUAUUUUUAACUGAGUGAUAACGAAAACACGGUCCAUCAAAAUUUGUGUGGUACUGGGAUGCAGACUUCAAAUUCUCGUAAAAAGACCAGACUUAAUGGUCUGACUUAGACUAGAAGGACCCCAGGGGUCAUGGUCCCCAGACCUUCUGUUAGCCCAAGACAGGAACCAUUCCCAAAGCCAACUCUUCAAACAGAGAUUGGGCUGAACUAUGAGAUAGAAAAUGAUACUAGUAAAGAGUGAGCUUCUUGAAUCAAGUAGACGCCUGACACUAUGUGGGCAGCUCCUAUCUGGAGGGGAGAUGAGAGGGCAGAGGGGGUCAGAAGCGGGCCGAAUGGACACAAAAAUGGAGAGUGGAGGGAAGGAGUGUGCUGUCUCAUUAGGGGGAGAGCAACUAGGAGUAUAUACCAAGUUGUAUAUAAAUUUUUGUAUGAGAGACUGACUUGAUUUGUAAACUUUCACUUAAAGCACAAUAAAAUUUUUUUAAAAAUUUGUGUGGUGCAGUCAAAGAAGUACUUAAAGGAAAGUGUGUAGCUUUAAAUGUGUAUAUCAGAAAAAAGAGAAAAGCUAAAAAUCAAUAUUCUAUGUUUCUGCCUUAAGAAACUAGAAGAAGUUUGGCAAUUCCUCAAAAAGUUGAAUGUAGAAUUACCAUAGGAUACAACAGUUCUGCUCCUAGGUACAUACCCAAGAGAAUACAAAACAUAUUUUUACAAAAACUUUUACAUAAAUGUUCACAGCAUCAUUAUUCAUAGUAGCCCUAAAGUGGCAACAACUCAAACGUCCACCAGCUGAUGAAUGGAUAAACAAAAUAUGGUUUAUCCAUUCAAUGGAAUAUUAUUCAGCCAUAAAAAAGAAUGAAGUAGUUACAUAUUAAACAUGGAUGAACCUCGAAAAUGUUAUGCUUAGUAAAAGAAGCUAAGCACAAAAGGCCACAUAUUGUUUGAUUCCACUUAUAUGAAAUGUUCAGAAGAGGCAAACCCAAAGAGACAGAAAGUGGAUUCGUAGUUGCCAGAGAGCGAGGGGAAGGGAAUUGGAACUGACUGCUGAUAGGUGCAGGGUUUCUUUCUAGGAUGAUGGAAAUAUUCUGGAAUUAAAUAGUGGUGAUGAUGGCACAACAUGGUCAAUAUACUAAAAAAAAAAAAUCACUGAAUUGUGUACUGUAGAAUGAUGAAUUUUAUGUUAUGUGCAUAGUAUCUCAAUGAAAGAAUAAAAAUAAGCUAGAAAAAGAACAAGUUAAACCCAAAGGACGGAAAUAAGGAAGAGCAGAAAUUAAUGAAACAAAAAACAGACCAAAAAAUAGGAAAAAUCAGCAAAGCCAGAAGUUGAUUCUUGGAAAAAAUUAAUAAAAUUUAUAAAACACUAGCCAAACUGAUUCAGAAGAAGAAAAUACAAUUUACCAAAUAUCAGGAAUGAGAGAGUAGAUACCACUGUAGAUAGUUAGCCACUAAAAAGUUAAUGACCAGGAGGUGGAGGCAAGAUGGCGGAAUAGACAGACGCUUCCUUCGAGCCCUCUUUACAACAAAGACCCAAAAAAACAAGUGAAACAAAUGUAUUUGUGACAAGCUGGGAGCCCUGAGCAUCAAAGGCAAGCUUAGAAAAUGAACUGAGGGGCAGGGGAAGGAAGAGACUGUUCAGAAGCGGAGAGGAGUUACUGGACCUGAAUCACGGGGAGCCCUCAGGCACCAUUUCCGGAGCGGUGGCCGCGGGCUGGUACUAGCGUUCUGCCGCAGUUUCCUCAGGGAGAAGCAGCAAGCCACACAGCCUGCUCACACCUCCGGAACCUGAGAAGAAUGGCGCUCUUGAUAAAAGCUAAGGACUUGCGUGUAUUUUACUGCCCCCCCACCCCCACCCCCGAGCCGGCUUCAGCAGCUGAAUUCCCUGGGCCUGAGAUAGGCACUGUUAAGCACCUAGAGCCAUCCUCCCAGCCUUGGGAAGGAAAAAAUUUGCAAUUGAGGGAAAAGGUAAUUUGCCAGCUCCACUAACUGGGGGAGCUCAGGACAGAAGCAGCUCCUGUCCAGGUAUAAACGGUCUGUGGAUUUUGAGCACCUUUUCCCUCUGCAUGGACCUAUGUGGGCCUAUUUCAGGAGAAUAGGCCCUUGUUGGCAGACUCCAUCUCAGCUGUGCAGUGAAGAGGUGGGUGUCUGACAUUGCUUUGCCUAUUAAACAAGGUCCUCACCUACCCACAUCAGGGGCCCAAGGGCUGAUAGCUUCACUCAGGUCACCCAGCCACCCCUGACAGGGGUCCAAGGAUAACUGGUACCUCCCAGUCCUUACAACCAAAAACACUGGGUGUUCAUGGUCCAUCUGCAGAUCCCACCCACCUGCACGCUCUAGGGAACAGGGACGCACUUUCCUCAGAGACACUCGCGGGUUGGUUCUCAGCCCCCUGCCUUGUUCAGAGCCUGACCCCCUGCUGCAAUCAGAUACUGCUAUAUACGCCAAUCACCCCUGCCCCUCUAAGACUGUAGGACAGAGCCUGUACCACAUACUUGAUGAUCAGCUACCUGGACACCUGAGCUGAAUUCAUACAAGAAAAGUGAAUGGACUCCUAGACUGUUAAAACUGAUAACAGCUCUAGCCAGCUGGGGACAGGAUGUCAGAGUUCCAAAGGUGAAAAUAAUCAAGCUAGCUCACUCAAGCAACCCAUUUGGGCAUAUCAAAACAAAACAAAGCAAGAAGCUAUGACACAGUAAGCAAGCGUAAACUAAUACAGUGACUUAUAGAUGGCUCGGAGAUAGCAGUCAAUAUCAAGUCACAUAAAGAAACAGACCGUGAUUGCCUCAACAAGCUCUCAAAACAAAGAAUCCAGGGAUCUUCUAGAUGAAAGUUCAUUCCUGGAAUUACCAGAGGCAGCAUACAAAAGAUUAAUACACAGAACCCUUCAAGACAUCAGGAAGGAAAUGAGGCAAUAUUCAGAACAAGCCAAGGAACACACAGAUAAAGCAAUUGAAGAAAUUAGAAAGAUUAUUCAGGAACAUAAAGAAAAGUUUAAUAAGCUGGAAAAAUCCAUAGACAGCAAUCAGAAACUCAGAUUAACAAUAAAAUUACAGAAGUAGACAACUCAAUAGAAGGUCAGAGGAGCAGAAUUGAGCAAGUAGAAGCCAGAAUUUCUGAACUUGAAGAUAAAUCACCUGGCACUAAUAUAUUUGAAGAAAAGUCAGAUAAAAGAAUUAACAAAACAAAACAAAACAAAAAAAUGAAGAAACCUUAAGAAUCAUGUGGGACUCUCAAAAGAAAUAACCUAUGAGUGAUUGAAGUACCAGAACAGGGAGGGGUAACAGAAAAUACAGAGAGAAUUGUUAAAGAUUUGUUGGCAGAAAACUUCCCUGAUAUCAUGAAAGAUGAGAAGAUAUCUAUUCAAGAUGCUCAUCGAACUCCACAUAAGGUAGAUGUUAAAGUAACCAAGACAUAUUAUAGUCAAACUUGCCUAAACCAAAGAUAGAGAAUUUUAAGAGCAGCUAGGGAUAAACGAAAAGUCAUCUACAAAGGAGAGCCAAUAAGAAUAAGCUCAGACUACUCAGCAGAAACCAUGCAGGCAAGAAGGCAAUGGGAUGACAUAUUUAAAAAAUUGAACGAAAAAAAUUGCCAGCCAAGAAUCAUAUAUCCAGCAAAACUGUCUCUUAAAUAUGAAGGUGAAAUUAGGACAUUUUCAGAUAAACAGAAGUUUAGGGAAUUCGUAAAAACCAAACAAAAACUACAAGGAAUACUAAAGGAAGCUCUUUGGUUAGAAAAUCAAUAAUAUCAGGUAUCAACCCAAGACUAGAACACUGGGCAGAGCAAUCAGAAGUCAACCCACACAGAGGAAUCAAAAAAACAAAGCAAGAUUAAAAAAGAGUUAAUGACCAAAAAAACCAAACCCGUUGCCUUCGAGUCGAAUCUGACUAAUAGCAACCCUGUAGGACAGAGUAGAACUGCCUCAUAGAGUUUCCAAGGAGCGCCUGGCGGAUUCGAACUGCCGACCUUUUGGUUAGCAGCCGUAGCACUUCACCACUACUCCACCAGGGUUUCCAAAAAGUUAAUAAAAGAAUAUCAUUAACAACUUUGUGCCAAUAAAUUUGACAACUUAGAUGAAUAGACAAAUUUUUGAAAAACAGUUUGCCAGUACUGACACAAAAAGAUAUAAAAAUCUAAAUAUCUCUUAAACUAUUAAAUAAAUUGGAUUUCUAUUUUAAAAAACUCCUCCCACAAAGAAAAUUCCAGGCCCAGAUAAUGUCACUAGUUACUUAUAUAUUUAAGGAAUAAAAUACUAAACUUACACAAACUCCUUUGGAAAAUAGAGGGGGAGGAAACACUUCCCAACUCAAUGUAUGACGCUAGCAAACCCUGAUUAUCAAAACCUAAAAUAUAGACAUUUCAAGAAAAACUUAUAGACCAGCAUCUCUUAUGAACAUAGGUGUAAAAUCUUCAACAAAAUAUUAGCAAAUAAAAUACAAUAAUAGAAUAAAAGUUUAUGACCAAGUGUUGUUUCCCCCAGGAAUGCAAAGUUUGUUCAUUUUUCAGAAAUCAGUGAAUGAAUUGAUAUAUUACAUUAACAGAAUAAAGGAGACAAUUCAUUUUAUUAUCUCAUAGAUGAAGGAAAACCAUUUAAUGAUAAGCCACAUCCAGUCAUAACAAAAACUCAGCAAACCAGGAAUAGAAGGAGCUUCCUUAAUUUGCUAAAGGGCAUCUAUGAAAAACAGCUAACAUCAUAUUAAAUCAUGAUAUGUUGAAUGAAAGGAUAGCCACUGUCAGCACUUCUGUUCAACAUUGUACUGGGUUGUUGAGGUAAGAAAAAGAUAUAAAAGGAAUACAGAUUGGAAAGGAAGAAGUAAAAUAAUUUACAGAUGACAUGAUUGUUUACACAGAAAACCCCAGAGAAUCUAUUAAGAAAACUAUUAGAAUAAAUGUCAUAAGAUACAAGGUCAACAUAAUAAAAACUAAUUGUUUCUAUAUUCUAGGAGCGAAUAAUGGGAGGAUGAAUUUUUAAAAAUCCAUUUACAGUAGUACAAAAAUUAAAUUCUUAGGAAUAAAUUUAACCAAAGACAGGUAAGAUCUCUACCCUUAAAACUACAAAACGUUGCUGAGGAAAUUAAAGAAGCCAAAGAAGGCUAAAUACAUGUAGAAGUAUACCAUGUUCAUGGUUUGGAAGAAUCAAUGUUGUUAAGAUGGGAGUUAUCCCCAAAUUGAUCUAUAGAUUCUAUGUAAUUUCAAUGAAAAUGCAAGGAGGAUUUUUGUUGUUGUUGAAGUUAACAAGCAGAUUCUAAAAUUUAUAGGAAAUAAAAAGAAUCUAGAAGAGCAAAAACAAUUUUUAAAAAGACAAAAAGUUGGAGGACUAAUGCUACCUGAUUUAAAGAUGUAUCACGAAGCUACACUAACCCAGGCAGUAUGACAUUGUGAUAAGGAUGGACAAUCACCAGUGGAACACAACAGAGUUUAGCAGUAGACCUAUACGUAUUUGGUCAGUUGGAGUUGUACCAGUUUACACUCCAGCAAUAUAGGAUUUUUAUAGUAGGAUUCUGACCAGCCAUCCUGAGAACAUGUAGAAAAGUGGGCCAGAUGAUUGCUGAACUCUUGAUAUGAUGAUCUGUUCUGCUUUGGAGAAGGCCUCAGCUGGGCGCUCAGGGGGCUAGUCCAACAGAGACACAGGCUUCAGAACAGGAAAUGAAAAGGACCUGCAUCUGAAGUGGACAGCUUUGAUGCCUUGCCGAGAGGCUCUAGGAAAAGACAGCUCUACCACCCAGGCCACACCCCUAAGAGAAGUGACAGAGAGAGCCCAAAGUUCACUGGAGUUUAGGACUGGCCUUCACACCAGGUACAUAAGUGAUGUCCAUAGGCUGGACAGGACCAAAGACCCAAAACAGAGGUGCAAAUGAAGUGGGAAGGUUGUCAGCUUUGCAUGCUUACUGUGUAGCCUGCUCUGUGCUAGGUAGACAUUGACAAGAUGAAAAUACUUGUCAAGGAGACAGUGAAGCUUCUUGUUGUAGCAAUGUGACCCGAUAUAAUAAACUGUAAACAAGCUAUCAUGGGGAACAGAAGAGGAACCCUUAACUCCCCUUAGGGAAGGUGCUGCAGAGAGACUCCACAUCGUGCAAUCACGGGGAGGACUUCCAGGACUAGGAACCAUGGGAACCUCGAGGUGAGAUGGUCAGUACGAGAAGGCUCGCACCCCAAACGAGAGUUUCUAGGAAAUGCCUUUUCCGUCAAGAGACAAAGGGCCAGAGUAGGGCUCAAGAAGGAUCCAUGACCCACGCCUCCCCAACACCUAAUCCGCAGUCACUUGUCUACCUUGGGAACCCCGUGCCGUCGAGUCGACCCUAUAGGAAGACCCCUAAAAAUAAAACCUGGUUCCCAUCAAGUCAGUUCCCACUCACACUGACCCCAUGUGUGAAAAGCCCUACUUUAAACACUCAGUUAAAGAAUCAUCUUCUGGAAGCCGCUGAGUCCCCGUGGUGUCAUUGUGUCAAGCUCACGCCCGUCUCAUGGUGUUGGGAAUUUAUUUCCACGUCUUCCCUCUCUCUCUCCCACUACAGCCGACCGACCAGUCGGGGUUAGAGACUGGGCUUCAAGUCGUUGGCACCUGCAAUGACUAGCACAAGUUGUUUUCUAGUUUAGGACUCAGGUGGAUGAACCAGAGACCUGCCUGCAAAGAAAACCAGGAAUCAUUUUGAGGAUCCUAUACGUCCUUGAGGUGGUGUUACCCCACGUCUGCCUCAAGCUGGCACUGUUGUAGCUUUGUUCGGCUUCUAGACCAAUUCAGAAACUUAUUCUUUUCCCACGUUUACUUUAGUUUCUUGGUAAAUUAGCUUCGUAAACCUUCAAGCUACUAGUGAGUUUGUCUGAGGCUGGAUAAAUGUUGCCACACCUGAGUCAAUAAAGCAUGAAUCAGUGUGGCCCUCACUGAUGGGUGUGGCACUGGUAGUUACUAUGACAGCCGGGGAGCCCAGGGAGAACUGAACAGCUGGAAGAGGGGGAAGUAGAAAACCCAGGGACAGAAUCAGGGUGAGCCAUCCUCUGCCUGUGAGGCCCUUGACUUUCCUCCUCGUUUCUCCUUGCAAUCUCGGCAGCACCACAUCACCACGCGGAGGCCUCCCCCCGCCGUCCAUUUGGCACUGCUCAACCUUAAGUCUCCUGCCCUCUGACAGCCCUGAGCUCUCUUGCUGGACCUUCUUCCACCUUCUUUUUUUAAUCUUUUUUCUCUCAAUAUGAAAAGUCCAUUUAUCGUAAGUUUUUUAGUGUACGUAUUAUUAACCUUUUCAUUUUCUUCUUCUUUUUUUUACUGUGGUAAAUGUAUAUGUAACAAAACAUUUGCCUUUUCAACAUUCUUCACACGUACAGUCCAGUGACAUUGAUUGUGUUUGGAAACCACUAUCUGUUUCCAAAUUUUGAACAGAAGCUCAGCGUCCCCAAGCAACAAGUCCCCCUUUUCCAUUCCACCCACCUUUGGUAACCAACAGUAGACUUUGGUCUCUAUGUACUUGCCAGUUCUAGAUAUUUCACAUAAGUGGGAUCAUACAGUAUUUGUCCUUUUGCGUCUACCUUUCACCUUCUUCUAGAGAGAAUUUUCCAAAGUGCCAUCAUUGGUCCUCUCUGUGCACCCUCUGCCUGUCUCUUACUCUCCAAGAACUCAUCCAUGAUCGUAGAUUCAAGAGUCAGUUCUAUGCCAGUGAUUCCCUCAGCCCCGGGUACCACACUCCCCUUGACCUCUCUGCUGGACUUGAGCUCUAUGUCUCAUUGCCUACUAGGUGUUUCCACUUGGGUGUCCUGCCAUCACCUCACACUAAACAUAUAGAAAACUGAACUGUCUUUCCCCUCCCAAUUUCCAUUUUUCUCCCCAUGGCAUCAUUCUCUCACCCACCCAAGUUCAAACCUUGAGUCAUAUAUGGCGCCUCCUCCCCAUUCGUCCUUCCCAAGCGUAAGUCUUGCGAACUUCCUUUAUAAUGUCUCUUACAGCUCUGUUGUUUCCAUUCUGUUUGCUAAGCCAGGGUCUCAACACCCAUGCCGUGAAUGUGAAAUAGCUUUCCUUCUAGUCUUUCUUUCAUACCUGGCCAGACUGAUUUUCCAGAAUCAUUAUUUUAAUCCUGUCUCUCCUGUUCAAAAACCUUCAGGAGCUCUGCAUCACCACAGAUAAAGUCCAUAUUCCCUGGCUUAGGCCCAAGACCCUUUGAUGCCUGCGUGCCUCACUGACAUUGUUUCAUGUGAUUAAGAGUGUAGGCUCUGGAGCCAGACUCUCUGGGACCAAAUCCUAUCCCCGAGACCCUGGCUUAGCAGAUAGAAUGGAAAGGAUAGAGCAGCAAGAGAUGUUACGAAGGAAGCUGACAAGACUUGUGCUUGGAAAGGAUGAAUGGGGAGAAGACGUCAUAUAUGACUCAGGUUUUGAGUUUGGGUGGGUGAGAGAAUGAUGAUGCCAUGGGGAGAAAGAUGCUGUGUGACUCUGGGCACGUAUUUAACCUCUAUGUGCUUGAGUGUCCUCUUCUUAAAAAUGGGGACAAUAAUCAUUUCUAGGGUAGCUGACUCGACGGCACUGGGGUGGGGUAAAGUAGCCAUGAGGUCAAAAGGCACUUAGAACAGUGCUGGAUACAUAGUAAGCACUCAGAUGUUAGCUUUUUAUGAUGUACAGUGAUUUUCAGAGAGGGAGUGCUCUGCCCACUGCCCACCUCUCUGCACACUGUCCCUCCAUCUCUCCACACACCUGUCCCCCAGCUCUCUGCUCACCUGUCCCCCCACCUCUCUGCGCACUUGCCCCCUGGGUGCAUUCGUUGUUCCCCUCCUCCUUGCCUUUGCUGAGCCCAUUCCCUUGGUCUAGAAUGCUGACUCUUAGUCAUCCUUCACGGGACAGUUACCUCCCAUUUUCUUCUGAGAGAAGCCAGCCGCAGGCCAUACAUGGAAGGCUAAUUUUAUUUGUUACUAAGUAAUUUUCCCUAUUUUUAUGUUAAAACAACUACUCCAGACAGCUCAUGGAGUAGAGUACAGAACGGACGAAAGAUUUUUAGAAUAAAAUGCAAAAACUACUAAAAAUUUUCAGAGUGGUGGCAUCUUGGGCCACCCCCACCCCAGUGGGGUCUGCAGGGAAAGGCCUGAGAAGCCCAGUCAUCGUCAGCACCAGGACCAAGCAUGUGUGAGGGUGGCCAGGGAUGGUGCCAGUCCUGGACUCAGCCCCCUGCAUCUGCUGGGAGGGUCCCUUUAGCCCAUGGCACCCUCUCCUUCCCAAGGACUCAGAGGGCUCUGUGUCUACCCCACUCGUCAGUUGCCUCUUGUAGGUUCCAAGUCCAGUUGCUGUCGAGUUGACUUCAGUACAUGGCAACCCCUUGCAUGUCAGCGUAGACCUGUGCUCCAUAGGGUUUUCGGUGGCUGGCUUUUUUAAUUAGAUCGCCAGAUGGUUCUUCAGAGGCGCCUCUGGGUGAACUCAAACUGCCAACCGUUCAUUCAGCAGCCAAGCAUGUUGACCACUUGCACCACCCAGGAGCUCCUCUUGCAGGUAGCAAUUGUAUUACCUUGUCUUUUAAUUUCCCACGUAAGUAGGGCUUAUCGCUUCAAUAAAAUUAUAAGCACCUGGAGCACAGAAUGGGCGGGGCUAUAAUACAGUGGAAGAUAGACUUGGGGUUGAAUUCAGGCCCUGGUGUUUACUCAUUGAGCAAGUCACUUUACCUCUCAGCCUUGGUCCUUAUCUCUAAACUGUGGAUAAUACUUCCCUAAUGAGAUGGUUUUAAGGAUUCAACUAGAUAUCGUAUGUGCCACAUUCAGCCCAGCAGAUGGCAUUGGCAAGCACUUAGUAGACAUGAGAUCUCUCCCCAGCAGCCCCAGGCACUCAGUAAACAUGUACCUCAGGAUGUCCCACCUCCAGGUACCUCCUAGACCUGGCAUCUGCACCCACAUGCUCUGCCUUCCUUCCUGUUCCAGGGGGUGUGGGGGACACCCUCUUCCCUGUGGGCUAGUCCCUGGCCCUUCUUACCUUCCCAAGGCCCCACUCAUGCAGUUGCCUCCACACUAUCCCGCACAGUCCGUCUUCCUCCCUUCAGCGUGUAAUUAUGCUGUAAUAUCGCUCUACUUGAACAACAAGCCCUCCCUUGAUCCCACCUUCCUUCUAGUUACCACUCUAUUUCUCUGCUCCCUUUACAGUGAAAAAAGUCCCUGAGAGAAUUAGCAUAUGCACUGCGCCCACUUGUACUGCUCUUCCCUCUUGAGCCCUCUCCACUCAGGCUUUGAUCCCUGUCACUCCGCUGAAAUGUCUCCAAUGGGCUCCCCAUUGCCAAGUCCAGCGUGCCGUCCUCAGGCUACAUAUCGCUGAGCCUCUCAGCAGCACCUGAGACCAUUGAUGAGUCCUGCCUCCUUAAAGCACCUUCUGCCCAGACCCCCCUGACCCGCACUGUCCUGGAUUUCCUCCAGUCCUACCACCGGCUAGUCCUCCGUUUCCUGUGCUGGACAACCCUGCUCCUCCUUCUCCCUCACCUCUGAGAGUCGAGGGCCCAGGGCUGUCCUCCCACUGCUUCUCAUUUCCAUCUACAUUAGAGCACAGGUGAUCUCCUCCACUGUCGUGGCUUUAAAUGCUGUCUAAAAAAUGCCCACAUUUAUGUCUCAAAUCCAGACCUUCCCCAGCAUUCCAGACUCAUCGGUCCAGCUCCUGCCCUUCCCACCACUUUCUCAUCUUAGUAUUGGGUACUAUCUCUCCUUCCAAUUGCUCAAGCCAAAACCCCGGGAGUGUCCUUGUCUCCUCUCUUUUUUAAACCUCAGAGCUGAACAGAUUGGCGAAUCCUGUCAGUCAAUUCCACCUUCAGAACAGGAAAUGAGGCCACUUCUUACCACCUCCACCUGCCACGGUUCAGACCACUAUCACCUCCCACGUGGCAAACCCAGUGCUUCCUGAGUGGGUUCACUGCCUCCUUCUUCCUCCACCCCUGCAAUCUAUUCUCCACCCACAGGCAGAGUCAUGUUUUCAGAGUUUGAUUAUGUUAUUCUUUGGCUUAAAACCCUCCAACGUCUUCUCCUUUCCCUCAGAAUAAAAUCCAAAUUUCUUGCUGUGACCAGCCCUGUUACCUCUGGCCACGUUUCCCACUGCGCUCUCCUUGCUCACUCUGCCUAGCCACACUGGCCUCUGCUUUGUUCCAUGAGCAGGACGAAAGCACUCCUGCCCUGGGCUUUUUGUAUUUGCUCUUCCUUCUGCCUGGAGGGCUCAGGUAGGUGUAGCCUCACUCCCUUACUUCCUCCAGGUCUGCUCAAAUGCCACCUUACCAGAGAGGCCAUCUCAACCACUCUGAAAUGGCACCCUGGCACCCUCUGUCCCUAGCCCUUAUUUUUCCUACCACUAACUGCCACUGGCCUGAUAUUUACAUGUUUGUUUUUGUUCACUUCCUCAUCACUAAUAAUAACACAGAGGACCUUUGGUGCCUGGCACAUAGGAGGUAUUCAGUAGAUGGGCCGAGGACAUGGUAUGUAGCCUGGAAGAGCCUGAGUGAAGACCCUAGUCUCUGCCCUGCCACUUCGCUGCUAUGUGAUAUUGGACUUUACUUAACCUUUCUGAUCUCCAGUUCCCCUCUCUGUAAAAUCUACUGUGAAGGUUUUUUAGGAGGAUUAGAGGUAAUACGUUUUAAGUACCAGAGACAUAGUCAACACUCAGUGAAAUGGAGGCUACAGAGGCCACAUAGCUUCUCUGUAGGCCUGUUUCCAAGGAGUUAAUAAUCUCAUCUCUCUCUGCCCCAGGAUGGAGGGCAGAUGUGUCAAACGAAGGAAGCACUAUAUAAGGGAUAUUGAUUCAUUCUCCUUGUCAGACCCUGUCCUAGGGCCCCCUAAUCAU